RNAcentral lists this ribosomal RNA (385 nucleotides) under uncultured bacterium. RNAcentral's name for it is "bacterial SSU rRNA". It matches the Rfam family "Bacterial small subunit ribosomal RNA", at positions 29 to 441 of the family's 1533-position model. The record is from RNAcentral.
AAUGAACGCUGGCGGCAGGCCUAACACAUGCAAGUCGAGCGAGGUAGCAAUACCUAGCGGCGGACGGGUGAGUAACGCGUGGGAACGUACCCUUUGCUUCGGAAUAGCCCUUGGAAACGAGGAGUAAUACCGAAUGUGCCCUACGGGGGAAAGAUUUAUCGGCAAAGGAUCGGCCCGCGUUGGAUUAGGUAGUUGGUGGGGUAAUGGCCUACCAAGCCGACGAUCCAUAGCUGGUUUGAGAGGAUGAUCAGCCACACUGGGACUGAGACACGGCCCAGACUCCUACGGGAGGCAGCAGUGGGGAAUCUUAGACAAUGGGCGCAAGCCUGAUCUAGCCAUGCCGCGUGAUCGAUGAAGGCCUUAGGGUUGUAAAGAUCUUUCGUGG